GACGGAGGAUGCAAGUGUUAUCCGGAAUCACUGGGCGUAAAGCGUCUGUAGGUGGUUUAACAAGUCUGCUGUUAAAAAUUGAAGCUUAACUUCAAAGGUGCCGUAGAAACUUUUAAACUUGAGGAUGGUAGGGGUAGAGGGAAUUUCCAGUGGAGCGGUGAAAUGCGUAGAUCUUGGAAAGACCACCAAUGGCGAAGGCACUCUACUGGGCCAUGACUGACACUGAGAGACGAAAGCUAGGGGAGCAAAUGGG
This 253-nucleotide ribosomal RNA is filed under the name uncultured bacterium. RNAcentral describes it as "partial 16S ribosomal RNA". It matches the Rfam family "Bacterial small subunit ribosomal RNA", at positions 524 to 776 of the family's 1533-position model. The record is from RNAcentral.